GAAUCCCGGAGGGAGAG
Molecule: transfer RNA, 17 nt
Filed under: Schizosaccharomyces pombe (fission yeast)
Lineage: Eukaryota; Fungi; Ascomycota; Schizosaccharomycetes; Schizosaccharomycetales; Schizosaccharomycetaceae
Description: partial tRNA-Asp
Source: RNAcentral